GGGCCCGCACAAGCGGUGGAGUAUGUGGUUUAAUUCGAUGCAACGCGAAGAACCUUACCAGGGUUUGACAUCCUGCGAAUCUCUUGGAAACGAGAGAGUGCCUUCGGGAACGCAGUGACAGGUGGUGCAUGGCUGUCGUCAGCUCGUGUCGUGAAAUGUUGGGUUAAGUCCCGCAACGAGCGCAACCCUUAUCCUUGUUUGCCAGCGAGUAAUGUCGGGAACUCCAGGGAGACUGCCGGUGAUAAACCGGAGGAAGGUGGGGACGACGUCAAGUCAUCAUGGCCCUUACGAGUAGGGCUACACACGUACUACAAUGCUACGGACAAAGGGCAGCAAGUUCGCGAGGACAAGCAAAUCCCAUAAACCGUGGCUCAGUUCAGAUCGUAGGCUGCAACUCGCCUACGUGAAGGCGGAAUCGCUAGUAAUCGCAGGU
This 433-nucleotide ribosomal RNA is filed under the name uncultured bacterium. RNAcentral's name for it is "bacterial SSU rRNA". It matches the Rfam family "Bacterial small subunit ribosomal RNA", at positions 917 to 1349 of the family's 1533-position model. The record is from RNAcentral.